This 125-nucleotide small RNA is filed under the name Pongo abelii (Sumatran orangutan). RNAcentral describes it as "processed transcript". Lineage: Eukaryota; Metazoa; Chordata; Mammalia; Primates; Hominidae. The record is from RNAcentral.
UGCUACACACGCAGGGCCCUGUCGAUGGCAGCCUUUACGCGAAGGUGAGGAAGAAAAGCUCCUCGGAUCCUGGCAUCCCAGGUGGCCCCCAGGCAAUCCCGGCCACCAACAGCCCAGACCACAGU